Molecule: ribosomal RNA, 273 nt
Filed under: uncultured bacterium
Lineage: Bacteria
Description: partial 16S ribosomal RNA
Rfam family: Bacterial small subunit ribosomal RNA
Source: RNAcentral
UACGUAGGGUGCAAGCGUUAAUCGGAAUUACUGGGCGUAAAGCGUGCGCAGGCGGUUAUAUAAGACAGAUGUGAAAUCCCCGGGCUCAACCUGGGAACUGCAUUUGUGACUGUAUAGCUAGAGUACGGCAGAGGGGGAUGGAAUUACGCGUGUAGCAGUGAAAUGCGUAGAUCGGCGGAGGAAAACCGAUGGCGAAGGCAAUCCCCUGGGACUGUACUUACGCUCAUUAACGAAAGCGUGGUGAGCAAACAGUAUUAGAUACCCCCGUAGUCC